AUUGAACGCUGGCGGCAUGCCUUACACAUGCAAGUCGAACGGCAGCACGGGUGCUUGCACCUGGUGGCGAGUGGCGAACGGGUGAGUAAUACAUCGGAACAUGUCCUGUAGUGGGGGAUAGCCCGGCGAAAGCCGGAUUAAUACCGCAUACGAUCUACGGAUGAAAGCGGGGGACCUUCGGGCCUCGCGCUAUAGGGUUGGCCGAAGGCUGAUUAGCUAGUUGGUGGGGUAAAGGCCUACCAAGGCGACGAUCAGUAGCUGGUCUGAGAGGACGACCAGCCCACAUGGGACCUGGACCAGGCCCCAACUCCCAAGGGAGGCAGGCGUUGGGAAUUUUUGGACAAGGGGCGAAACCCGAUUCCGCAAAGGCGGGUGGUGGAAAGAGGGCCUCCGGUUUGAAAACCACUUUGGUCCGGAAGAAAAUCCUUGGCCUUAAUCCGUCCGGGGAUGACGGUACCGGAAGAAUAAGCACCGGCUAACUACGUG
Molecule: ribosomal RNA, 486 nt
Filed under: uncultured bacterium
Lineage: Bacteria
Description: partial 16S ribosomal RNA
Rfam family: Bacterial small subunit ribosomal RNA
Source: RNAcentral